This 459-nucleotide ribosomal RNA is filed under the name uncultured bacterium. RNAcentral's name for it is "partial 16S ribosomal RNA". It matches the Rfam family "Bacterial small subunit ribosomal RNA", at positions 338 to 795 of the family's 1533-position model. The record is from RNAcentral.
CCUACGGGAGGCAGCAGUGAGGAAUAUUGGUCAAUGGCCGAAAGGCUGAACCAGCCAAGUCGCGUGAGGGAAGACGGCCCUACGGGUUGUAAACCUCUUUUGUCGGGGAGCAAAGCGGACCACGUGUGGUUCAUUGAGAGUACCCGAAGAAAAAGCAUCGGCUAACUCCGUGCCAGCAGCCGCGGUAAUACGGAGGAUGCGAGCGUUAUCCGGAUUUAUUGGGUUUAAAGGGUGCGCAGGCGGGGGUGCAAGUCAGAGGGAAAAUUGCGGGGCUCAACCCCGUACUGCCGUUGAAACUGCAGCCCUUGAGUGCGCGAGAAGUAGGCGGAAUGCGUGGUGUAGCGGUGAAAUGCAUAGAUAUCACGCAGAACUCCGAUCGCGAAGGCAGCAUACCGGCGCGCAACUGACGCUCAUGCACGAAAGCGUGGGUAUCGAACAGGAUUAGAUACCCUUGUAGUC